UUUUAACAGAGGUAUGUGUGUUGAACACCACUGAAGACAAUGUUAGCAGCUGUUAGAUUUAAUAGUAGGGGGGAAAUGGUUAAAUUUUAGUUUUUAUACGCUAUUUUCGUCUUCCGGGUUUAAAAUCUUCAUCCAGUUCACGUCACAGGCUGUGACGGGGCAGAGCACAGAUAGUAACUUGAUGACUCAUCGUUGUCUCAUAAUUAUUAACGAGACUGAGUUUUUUAUCCAAUGAGAAGACAAUCUCUUAAUUAUUCAUGACACCACGCGGAUCUUCCCAACGACAGACUUGUCAAGCAAGCUGUGAUAUCGCGCAGUAGAUGAGUGAGGCGAUCAUGGGACGCAAGUGUUUGUUUUCGUGGUGCAAAAGUUCAACUGGGUUGCAUAUGUUUCCCCGCGAUGCUGCCAGGGCUAGACUCUGGCUUCGGGCGGUUGGUUGGCCAUCAACCACGGACACAUCCAGAUUAUAUGUGUGCAGCAAACAUUUUUCGAGAGAGAGCUUUGAGAAUUGGAGAAUGGUGGACUUUGGCCUUGUUGACGACCAAUGCAAGUUGCGUCUCGCGAUUGAUGCGGUGCCAAUUCCCGAGGACUUUUCUAUCCUUUCAGAGCCUAAACUGUGUUGCGAGAUGGCGUGUCAGACCGAACAGCCCGCCAAAAAAGAUGCUGCAUGUCAAACCCAUCCCGACAUGAAGCAUAUGUCAACGCAACAUCGCUGGAAACCUGAACGAAGGAGCAAGAGCACUCAGGUGAAGCAACAGAAAAGGCAUGUUGGUUGCAACACUUCCACACCAUUCAUACCACUAGAAAAAGGUCCUCUUGCAACCUCUACCCCCUUGAAAAGGCCCAGAAGAGAGGCUGAGGAUUCUGAUUGUAGUUUCCAACCAGG
This is a non-coding RNA of Paramisgurnus dabryanus, 886 nucleotides long. NCBI's taxonomy places the organism in Eukaryota, Metazoa, Chordata, Actinopteri, Cypriniformes, Cobitidae. The record is from RefSeq and is a predicted model, not a curated record.